This 424-nucleotide long non-coding RNA is filed under the name Nicotiana benthamiana. Its description in RNAcentral is "long non-coding RNA (NBEN_LNC037494)". Lineage: Eukaryota; Viridiplantae; Streptophyta; Magnoliopsida; Solanales; Solanaceae. The record is from RNAcentral.
CUUUGCUUAUGUAUUAUGUAUAAGCCUUCCAACAAACAGAAAGACUUGUAUGCAUUAGGUUCAUAGGGGUAAAUACAUUCAAAAGGGAAAAAUUUUAGCGGCUCAUAUUUCAAAUAAAGAUCGCCGCGUGGAAAACUCCUUUUUUGGGGGGGUUGUCCCCACUGGUUUGCGAAAGCAAUGGGAGACUUGCUCCAUAGAACCCCCCCCAGAGACUUUCGUCCCCAGUAUUCUCUAUGGGCAAAGGCGCUCAGGUGCGCUUAAAGUCUUAUUGCCUAUACGAGCGAUGGCACAGGCAGCGCAAAUUGGCUAGCCACGAGUUCAGCACAAAGUCAUUGAGGGAAUUCGUUGUCAAAACUCUAGAAGUAGUUGAUAAGAGACUGAUUCCAUUGCUUGACCAAACUGCAAAAGCUAACAAAGUGGUAGA